UACGUAGGGAGCGAGCGUUGUCCGGAAUUACUGGGCGUAAAGGGUGCGUAGGCGGAGAUAUAAGUCAGAUGUGAAAGGCCGGGGCUCAACCCCGGAGCUGCAUUUGAAACUAUAUUUCUUGAGUGCAGGAGAGGCAAGUGGAAUUCCUAGUGUAGCGGUGAAAUGCGUAGAUAUUAGGAGGAACACCAGUGGCGAAGGCGACUUGCUGGACUGUAACUGACGCUGAGGCA
RNAcentral lists this ribosomal RNA (230 nucleotides) under uncultured microorganism. RNAcentral describes it as "partial 16S ribosomal RNA". It matches the Rfam family "Bacterial small subunit ribosomal RNA", at positions 524 to 753 of the family's 1533-position model. The record is from RNAcentral.